AGUGAGAAUGCCGGAAUGAGUAGCGAGAAUUAUGUGAGAAUCAUAAUGGCCGAAAAUCUAAGGUUUCCUGAGGAAGGUUCGUCCGCUCAGGGUAAGCCGGGAGCUAAGGCGAGGCGGAGACGCGUAGCCGAUGCACAUACGGUUGAAAUUCCGUAGCCACCGAAAGAUUUAAGUACAGGGACGCUUUAGAAGUGAUGUUGCCGGGCGAUGGUUGACCCGGUCGUAAGGGAUCGAAAAUGAGUAGAGAAGUCAUCAUGGAAAGAGACAAGAAAAGCUGUAUGAAUAUCUUAGGUGCCCGUACCGCAAACCGACACAGGUAGAUAGGAAGAAGAUUCUAAGGCCAACGGGAGAAGGGUUGUUAAGGAACUCGGCAAGUUGACCCCGUAACUUAGGGAUAAGGGGUGCUCAAGUGAUUGAGCCGCAGAGAAUAGGCCCAGGCGACUGUUUAGCAAAAACACAGGUCUCUGCUAAAUCGAAAGAUGACGUAUAGGGGCUGACACCUGCCCGGUGCCGGAAGGUUAAGAGGAGAUGUGAGAGCAUUGAAUUGAAGCCCCGGUAAACGGCGGCCGUAACUAUAACGGUCCUAAGGUAGCGAAAUUCCUUGUCAGGUAAGUUCUGACCCGCACGAAAGGUGUAACGAUCUGGGCACUGUCUCAACAACCCGCCCGGCGAAAUUGUAGUACCGGUGAAGAUGCCGGUUACCCGCGACUAGACGGAAAGACCCCAUGGAGCUUUACUGUAGCCUAAUAUUGGAUUUCGGUAUUUCACGUACAGGAUAGGUGGGAGACUGGGAAGCACAGGCGUCAGCUUGUGUGGAGUCGACCUUGGGAUACCACUCUUGGAGUGCUGGAAUUCUAACCUGCGGCUUUGAAGCAAGUCGGGGGACAUUGUUAGGUGGGCAGUUUGACUGGGGCGGUCGCCUCCUAAAGAGUAACGGAGGCGCUCAAAGGUUCGCUCUGCAUGGAUGGAAACCAUGCGUCAGAGUGUAAACGCAAAAGCGAGCCUAACUGCGAGAAUGACGGUUCGAGCAGUAACGAAAGUUGGAGUUAGUGAUCCGGCGGUAUGUGAAUGGAAAUGCC
This 1079-nucleotide ribosomal RNA is filed under the name human gut metagenome. RNAcentral's name for it is "bacterial LSU rRNA". It matches the Rfam family "Bacterial large subunit ribosomal RNA", at positions 1287 to 2443 of the family's 2925-position model. The record is from RNAcentral.